GCCCGGAUGGUGGAAUUUGGUAGACACAUACGUUUGAGGGGCGUAUGCACUUCGUGCGUGGGGGUUCAAGUCCCCCUCCGGGCA
Molecule: transfer RNA, 84 nt
Filed under: Candidatus Rifleibacteriota bacterium
Lineage: Bacteria; Candidatus Rifleibacteriota
Description: tRNA-Leu
Rfam family: tRNA
About the family: Transfer RNA (tRNA) molecules are approximately 80 nucleotides in length. Their secondary structure includes four short double-helical elements and three loops (D, anti-codon, and T loops).
Source: RNAcentral